RNAcentral lists this ribosomal RNA (445 nucleotides) under uncultured bacterium. RNAcentral describes it as "partial 16S ribosomal RNA". It matches the Rfam family "Bacterial small subunit ribosomal RNA", at positions 354 to 796 of the family's 1533-position model. The record is from RNAcentral.
GUGAGGAAUAUUGCGCAAUGGAGGCAACUCUGACGCAGCCAUGCCGCGUGCAGGAAGAAGGCGCUACGCGUUGUAAACUGCUUUUAACCGGGAAGAAACCCCAGGACGUGUCCUGGGUUGACGGUACCGGAGGAAUAAGCACCGGCUAACUUCGUGCCAGCAGCCGCGGUAAUACGAAGGGUGCAAGCGUUAUCCGGAUUCAUUGGGUUUAAAGGGUGCGUAGGCGGAGCGUUAAGUCAGUGGUGAAAUCCUGCAGCUUAACUGUAGACUUGCAAUUGAUACUGGCGCUCUUGAGUGCGCUUGAAGUGGGCGGAAUGUGCCGUGUAGCGGUGAAGUGCUUAGAUAUGGCACAGAACACCAAUUGCGAAGGCAGCUCACUAAGGCGAUACUGACGCUGAGGCACGAAAGCGUGGGGAUCGAACAGGAUUAGAAACCCUUGUAGUCC